CCUACGGGAGGCAGCAGUGGGGAAUUUUGGACAAUGGGCGAAAGCCUGAUCCAGCAAUGCCGCGUGAGUGAAGAAGGCCUUCGGGUUGUAAAGCUCUUUUGUCAGGGAAGAAACGGUGAGAGCUAAUAUCUCUUGCUAAUGACGGUACCUGAAGAAUAAGCACCGGCUAACUACGUGCCAGCAGCCGCGGUAAUACGUAGGGUGCAAGCGUUAAUCGGAAUUACUGGGCGUAAAGCGUGCGCAGGCGGUUUUGUAAGUCUGAUGUGAAAUCCCCGGGCUCAACCUGGGAAUUGCAUUGGAGACUGCAAGGCUAGAAUCUGGCAGAGGGGGGUAGAAUUCCACGUGUAGCAGUGAAAUGCGUAGAUAUGUGGAGGAACACCGAUGGCGAAGGCAGCCCCCUGGGUCAAGAUUGACGCUCAUGCACGAAAGCGUGGGGAGCAAACAGGAUUAGAUACCCUGGUAGUCCACGCCCUAAACGAUGUCUACUAGUUNUCGGGCCUUAAUUGACUUGGUAACGCAGCUAACGCGUGAAGUAGACCGCCUGGGGAGUACGGUGCCCAAGAUUAAAACGUCAAAGGAAUGACGG
This 586-nucleotide ribosomal RNA is filed under the name uncultured bacterium. Its description in RNAcentral is "bacterial SSU rRNA". It matches the Rfam family "Bacterial small subunit ribosomal RNA", at positions 338 to 916 of the family's 1533-position model. The record is from RNAcentral.